Non-coding RNA from Paramuricea clavata, 825 nucleotides. The record is from the annotation of a GenBank genome assembly. Lineage: Eukaryota; Metazoa; Cnidaria; Anthozoa; Malacalcyonacea; Plexauridae.
GUUGUGAUAGAAAGUAAGGCCCGGGAGGAGUUAUCCGAAACUAGUGUACUGGUGGGGGCCGUGACUGUGAUCAAGUUCUGGAAUGGGUCUGAAACUGGUGUCCCGGUGUGGGUUGAAGUUUUGGGCAGGUGUGGGGUCAGGGUACCGGCGAGGGUCGCAAAUGGAACCAGGCCUGGGGUCCGGGUCGAGUCUGAAACUAGGGUCGGGGUCGAGAUUAUGGUCAGAGGCGGGAUUCCGGGCGAAGAAAAAUAAUCUGAUGUAGUCAAGUCCGGUGGCGUAACUGCAAUCGUUGAAAAUGACUGUCCCGUCCAGGAAGCUGAUAAUCCCAAUGUACAAUCGCUUAUAAUACCAAUCCUUGACUCCCGAAGCAGCCGGCAGUCAAAUGUGGGGUUGCCUCGCACGUCAAUACGUUGCAAGUUCGGGAAAGACAACAAAAGCCUGGUUAUAUUGAAAUUAACAAGGCGGUUACGCUUCAAGUCAAUCACUAUGACCCAUUCUCUUUUGCCUGUUACCAGGUGAUCAAUAUUCUCCAGUCGCUCGUUAGAACACUCCAGUAAUCCAAAAUUGACAAUCUCGCGACAAAAUGGGGUGCUUCCAUGUACAAGAAGUAAAACGCAAAACACAACAGAAAACAUUUCGUAGAUCUGUCUAAAUUCCAAGUGAAAUAUAUCCUUUCAUGUAUACGAAUAAAUACUGAUCUAAACUACGUACGCUAAUGAACCGGAUAAGCACUCUGAAAGCUAUGCAUAAAGCGUGAGAAGACAGCGGUCAUAGCUCAGCUUAUCUUGAAAUUGAACUAUAAUAAUCCUUCCUUUCAAACAUGCG